UUUUCCCCUCCCUCUUCCUCACUCUCCCUUACCAGUGUCCUCCAUCACUCUGUUCUCCCCCAUUCUGUCUCCUUGAGAUUCAGACUAGGCCCUUUUCCACUGAAAACUGGAACUGCUGUAUGUGGAUCACUUCACUCCUUGCCCUGGACGAAGCAGAUAAAAGACAGAGCAACAAGAAGGAAAAAGAAGCCACACCCACUUGGAGACAGAUACUAAGUCUUGACUCGGCCACCUCAGCUUGAAAAGUCACAUGGAAGCCAAAGCAAAGAGUGGGGCCCCGAAGCCCAGCUCCAAGGCAGAGAAGAAGGAGCCUGCAGCCCCCAAGCCCGAUGCUGCCCCACUUGCUGCCCCUGUUGAGCCAGUGGCCCCUACUGAGCCAGAGAAGCCAGCAGAGGAGACGGCGGCUGAUGAGGGAGCAGCGGAAGGAGCUGAGGCCGCAGAUGCCUGUACCCUAGAGAGCCUAAAGCCCUUCCUCAUUGGUGGAGCUGUCAUUGCCCUUGGGGCAAUCCUGGUUGGGGUGAUUUUAUUGGCAAAGAAGAAUUGACCUGCUUUCUACUGCAGGUUGAGGGGUGAAUGGGUAUACUAAUGAUCUGUUCAUAGACUAUCAUAGAGUUGGUGUUUAUAUUUAAGGGGGGUGGGAAGUCACUGCGCUUCUUAAUUUCAGCACGGUUCUGAUUUUGUGCUUAGCAAUGAAAUUAACAAUAAUAAACCUAGAAAGGGUCCAUUUGGACAUACUUAUGUUUUAUUGAUGAUCAGUUCACUGAUGUAGACACCUGCAGUCUCCCAACCUACACAACCUGUCAAAGCAAUGCAUGUGGUGACAUACAUCCAUUGACACAACAACGAAUGCAACACUAGUUAACGAUAGACUAUCCCAACCCUGCUCAAGGAGCGAUUUACUACUGGCCAAAGCUGAACACUCAAUUCUUAAUUUCAAACAAAAACAAUUUAUAACAUGGCAAAGUUAAGUUUACUUGCCAAUAUCCAUUUACAAUUUAUUGGUUACUUGGCUGCAACGUUACAGCAUUACUUGUCACAACUUCUCCACAAACACAUUCCAUUCUUACAAUUAAAUUUAAAGUCAUAACUCCUCUGAUAUAAAUGCUACUUCCAGUCAUUCAUCCAUUCCACAAUCACAUAGUGUCAUGAGUCAAUAGUUGGGGUUGACAUAGUCAAAUCAUGAAAAGGCUUUAUGUGACCUUGCGUCUUCAAUACAAAGCAUUUAACAGAGCAUUUAAUAUCAUUUCUAUAUAUUGUUUGGAAAACAAAGCACCUCAGUGCUGAAGUCUAAUUUGGUGGUGAAGUUAUGAUACAUAUCUUAACAAAUUAGCUUUAUUUGUGACUCAUAACUACAUAAACACUAAAAAGUUUAAAAAGUUAAACACUACACAAUCCUCUGGGCAUAAUAUCAGUUAGAAGUGGCAUUAGGUGCGUACAGACGCAAGGCUGUGAAGGGUCGAAAUGUCUAUGGGCAAGAAUUGUUUCCAGAACGAGUGUUAUUUCAAAUAUUUAAACUGUGAAAGAAAGGCAGUUCAUAAUAUAUUCUCUUUCAGCAUAACUGUGCCAAGAUAUUUUGUGUGGUGUGUAAGUUAUGGAAAUCAAAGGCAAGACUAUUUUGUGAGUUACCCUCAGUCCCACAGUGCUAAAGAGGUCUUGUAAAUAAUUUAUAUUUUAUUAGUUGAAAGCAUAUCUUUAUGUAUAUGAAGAACACUUGAGAUAUAACUAAUUUCAUUCAUGUGAGCACUGAAAGAUAUUGAUCCCAUACAUUUACAGUUUCAAUUGAUUUAAGAUUUCUCUUAUUCAAAAAUGACCAACUUUACAAUAUGUGGCCUAAAGGCGCAUGAAUCCAUAAAAUCCAUAUAUGCAUUGUGUUUUCUUGUGUUUGUAUAAAAAUAACAUGCACUUAUAUGUAUAGCUCAUGUACAUAGAUGAAAGUUAUUCUGUGUUUUUUUCUCUAUGUUUACCACAAGGUGAUGUCACAUCAAAGCAGAGUUUCUCCAACUAUACGAUACACUGAAGCAAAUAUUCUAAAGUAGAUCUGGCUUGCUUGCUGACUCAUAGACUGUAUUCAUUAUGUUCAGACACACGUUCAGACAUUUAGAAAUGCAGGAGUGCACAAAAUGCAAUGGGGUCCACAAAAUAAAACAUUCCUGGACUUUAGAAUGGCCAGAAAAAUGUUAAUGCAAUGUUGAAGGCAUAGAGUUUCGUAUCUGUGUAUGCAUCUUGUUCUUCUGUUUUGAGUGUUGUAGCCUAUUGCAAUUGUCAAAUGUAAAACAAGAUACACAGAAUGCACAGGAAAGCUUACAACCUCUUUUCCCGGUCCUUCAAAUGAUAUCACUGUUGAGUCAAGAAGCACUUUUAUUAUUUGACCAAACCUACAAGCUGCCUUUUUAAUUAUGUUCAUGUUAUGUUUUCCGGUUAUGUUAUAGGCCAGAUGUCAUGAUUUUACUACCAUUUAAAUCAGAACUGAAAUUGGUCACCAUCCUUUGGUCAUCCUAAGGAUUUGAAGAACUCCUUAUCCCCCUGCAGUUACAUGUCGUUUAUGACCACUGCAUCAAAGGUUUAUACGCAAAUGCAUUAAGGAGAACUAGCCCAAAAAUACCCACACAAAUCACUUAACCUAUGACACUGAUCAUUUUAUUUAGGCUUUCUUUUUCUCUCAAGAGCGUAUAAAUGCAAUAAUUCCUAAAUACUUUUUCUUUCUGACAUUUCUUUGCAGAUAAGAUGAUGAUGAUGAUGAUGAUGAUGAUGAUGAUGAUGAUGAUGAUUAUGACUGAAAUCAGAUGAAUAGCCUAACUUUUCUGUCAAUAACUAGCCUACAGUGGUGAUUGCAAUAUUUGUGGUGGUACUGAACUGAGUUCGACUGUGAUGAUAAAUCAAGAAUGGUGGUCAUAGAGGCCUUUUAUUUUUUAUUACACUGUAGCCUCUCUUUGCUCUCCUGCCCUCUUCCAACUCACACUUAAUAAAGUGGCUCUAAUGGCUUGUCCUUUAUUAAAGACAAAUGAAACA
Molecule: long non-coding RNA, 3009 nt
Organism: Alosa alosa (allis shad)
Lineage: Eukaryota; Metazoa; Chordata; Actinopteri; Clupeiformes; Clupeidae
Exons: 2
Source: RefSeq, a predicted model, not a curated record